AGAAGGUUAGCUCAGCCAACUGUUGGAUAUGUUGGUUCAAGCCUGUAGUCGUGCCUGGUAGGCAAAUCCGCCGGGCUUAGAUGAGGGGUGAUAACGAGUCUGCUUGCAGACGAAGUGAGUGAUACCCUGCUUCCAGGAAAAGCCACUAAGCUUCAGCUAUUGACGACCGUACCGCAAACCGACACUGGUGCGCGAGAUGAGUAUUCUAAGGCGCUUGAGAGAACUCUGGAGAAGGAACUCGGCAAAUUGAUACCGUAACUUCGGGAGAAGGUAUGCCCCAAGUAGGUGAACCUGUACAAGGCGAGCCCAAAGGGGUUGCAAAAAAUUGGUGGCUGCGACUGUUUAAUAAAAACACAGCACUCUGCAAACACGAAAGUGGACGUAUAGGGUGUGACGCCUGCCCGGUGCUGGAAGAUUAAAUGAUGGGGUGCAAGCUCUUGAUUGAAGUCCCAGUAAACGGCGGCCGUAACUAUAACGGUCCUAAGGUAGCGAAAUUCCUUGUCGGGUAAGUUCCGACCUGCACGAAUGGCGUAACGAUGGCCACACUGUCUCCUCCAGAGACUCAGCGAAGUUGAAAUGUUUGUGAUGAUGCAAUCUACCCGCGGAAAGACGGAAAGACCCCAUGAACCUUUACUGUAGCUUUGUAUUGGACUUUGAACAGAUCUGUGUAGGAUAGGUGGGAGGCUUUGAAGCGUGGUCGCUAGAUCAUGUGGAGCCAACGUUGAAAUACCACCCUGGUGUGUUUGAGGUUCUAACCUAGGUCCAUUAUCUGGAUCGGGGACAGUGCAUGGUAGGCAGUUUGACUGGGGCGGUCUCCUCCCAAAGCGUAACGGAGGAGUUCGAAGGUACGCUAGUUACGGUCGGACAUCGUGACGAUAGUGCAAUGGCAUAAGCGUGCUUAACUGCGAGACUGACAAGUCGAGCAGAUGCGAAAGCAGGACAUAGUGAUCCGGUGGUUCUGUAUGGAAGGGCCAUCGCUCAACGGAUAAAAGGUACUCUGGGGAUAACAGGCUGAUACCGCCCAAGAGUUCAUAUCGACGGCGGUGUUUGGCACCUCGAUGUCGGCUCAUCUCAUCCUGGGGCUGUAGCCGGUCCCAAGGGUAUGGCUGUUCGCCAUUUAAAGAGGUACGUGAGCUGGGUUUAAAACGUCGUGAGACAGUUUGGUCCCUAUCUUCCGUGGGCGCUGCAGAUUUGAGGAAGCCUGCUCCUAGUACGAGAGGACCGGAGUGGACACACCUCUGGUGUACCGGUUGUCACGCCAGUGGCAUCGCCGGGUAGCUAAGUGUGGAAGAGAUAACCGCUGAAAGCAUCUAAGCGGGAAACUCGUUUCAAGAUGAGAUCUGCCGGGGGCUCGACCCCCCUGAAGAGUCGUUCUAGACCAGGACGUUGAUAGGCUGGGUGUGGAAGCGCAGCAAUGCGUUAAGCUAACCAGUACUAAUUGCUCGUGCGGCUUGAGC
RNAcentral lists this ribosomal RNA (1457 nucleotides) under metagenome. Its description in RNAcentral is "bacterial LSU rRNA". It matches the Rfam family "Bacterial large subunit ribosomal RNA", at positions 1476 to 2925 of the family's 2925-position model. The record is from RNAcentral.